This is a non-coding RNA of Trichonephila inaurata madagascariensis, 73 nucleotides long. NCBI's taxonomy places the organism in Eukaryota, Metazoa, Arthropoda, Arachnida, Araneae, Nephilidae. The record is from the annotation of a GenBank genome assembly.
GGGGGCGUAGCUCAGAUGGUAGAGUGUUCAGUUACCACGCGAAAGAUACGGGGAUCGAUACCCCGCGCAUCCA